RNAcentral lists this ribosomal RNA (422 nucleotides) under uncultured prokaryote. RNAcentral describes it as "bacterial SSU rRNA". It matches the Rfam family "Bacterial small subunit ribosomal RNA", at positions 338 to 774 of the family's 1533-position model. The record is from RNAcentral.
CCUACGGGAGGCUGCAAUUAGGAAUCUUGCGCAAUGGGCGAAAGCCUGACGCAGCGACGUCGCGUGACUGAUGAAGUCUUUCGGGAUGUAAAGGUCUUUUUUGGGGGAAGAAGGAUGUGACGGUACCCCAAGAAUAAGCCCCGGCUAACUACGUGCCAGCAGCCGCGGUAAUACGUAGGGGGCGAGCGUUGUCCGAAUUCACUGGGCGUAAAGCGCGCGUAGGCGGACCUUUAAGUCAGGGGUGAAAUGCCGAGGCUCAACCUCGGAACUGCCUGUGAAACUGGGGGUCUUGAGGUAUGGAGAGGGAAGUGGAAUUCCUGGUGUAGCGGUGAAAUGCGUAGAUAUCAGGAGGAACACCUGUGGCGAAGGCGGCUUCCUGGCCAUAUCCUGACGCUGAGGUGCGAAAGCUAGGGGAGCGAACG